UACGGAGGGUGCAAGCGUUAUCCGGAUUCACUGGGCUUAAAGGGUGCGUAGGUGGGCAGUUAAGUCAGUGGUGAAAUCUCCGGGCUUAACCCGGAAACUGCCAUUGAUACUAUCUGUCUUGAAUACCGUGGAGGUGAGCGGAAUAUGUCAUGUAGCGGUGAAAUGCUUAGAUAUGACAUAGAACACCAAUUGCGAAGGCAGCUCACUACACGAAUAUUGACACUGAUGCACGAAAGCGUGGGGAGCAAACAGG
RNAcentral lists this ribosomal RNA (253 nucleotides) under uncultured bacterium. Its description in RNAcentral is "partial 16S ribosomal RNA". It matches the Rfam family "Bacterial small subunit ribosomal RNA", at positions 524 to 776 of the family's 1533-position model. The record is from RNAcentral.